This 497-nucleotide ribosomal RNA is filed under the name uncultured bacterium. RNAcentral describes it as "partial 16S ribosomal RNA". It matches the Rfam family "Bacterial small subunit ribosomal RNA", at positions 28 to 507 of the family's 1533-position model. The record is from RNAcentral.
GAUGAACGCUGGCGGCGUGCCUAAUACAUGCAAGUCGAGCGAACAGACGAGGAGCUUGCUCCUCUGACGUUAGCGGCGGACGGGUGAGUAACACGUGGAUAACCUACCUAUAAGACUGGGAUAACUUCGGGAAACCGGAGCUAAUACCGGAUAAUAUAUUGAACCGCAUGGUUCAAUAGUGAAAGACGGUUUUGCUGUCACUUAUAGAUGGAUCCGCGCCGCAUUAGCUAGUUGGUAAGGUAACGGCUUACCAAGGCAACGAUGCGUAGCCGACCUGAGAGCCGGAUCGUCGACACUGGAACUCAGACACGGUCCAGACGCCUACGGGAGGCAGCAGUCGGGAAUCUUCCGCAAUAGGCGGAAGCUUGACGGAGCAACGCCGCGUGAGUGAUGAAGGUCUUCGGAUCGUAAACCUCUGUUAUUAGGGAGAAACAAAUGUGUAAGUAACUAUGCACGUCUUGACGGUACCUAAUCAGAAAGCCACGGCUAACUACGUG